This 253-nucleotide ribosomal RNA is filed under the name uncultured bacterium. RNAcentral describes it as "partial 16S ribosomal RNA". It matches the Rfam family "Bacterial small subunit ribosomal RNA", at positions 524 to 776 of the family's 1533-position model. The record is from RNAcentral.
UACGGAGGGGGCAAGCGUUGUUCGGAAUUACUGGGCGUAAAGGGCGCGCAGGCGGCUGCUCAAGUCAGGCGUGAAAGCCCUCGGCUCAACCGAGGAAGUGCGCCCGAAACUGCAGAGCUUGAGUACCGGAGAGGAUGGCGGAAUUCCCCAAGUAGAGGUGAAAUGCGUAGAUAUGCGGAGGAACACCGAUGGCGAAGGCAAUCCCCUGGGCCUGCACUGACGCUCAUGCACGAAAGCGUGGGGAGCAAACAGG